GGAGCGCAAUGGUGUGAUCUCAGCUCACUGCAACCUCCACCUCCCUGGCUCAAGCAAUCCUCCCACCUCAGCCUCCCAAGUAGCUGGCACCACAGAAAAUAAACUCCUGGAUCCAUAUUUCACACCUUAAGAAAGCACUCCAACCCCCAAGGGCAUCAACUUCAACAGGAAAACUGACCCUUCAACUUACCAAAUCUUUGAAGUGACUAGUUGUAUAGUACAACAAGCAGAAAAUUUGCUAUGGAGGUUGUGUUAACUGUUGACAUUUAUGUGAGAUUUUUGCUGCAUAUUUGUUAGAAAAGGCUCAACAAAAUUAUAAUAAACAAUGAUUGUGUUAUUAAUUUUUUAACUGUUAUAUCAGUUAUAAAUGCUUGGAAUGAAAAUGCCUUAAGGAAAUUAGUCAAUAAUGUCACAUAUGUUACUUUUUCUAAUUGGAUCUGCCAUGAUUGCUAUAAAACUUUGUCCUUCCACUAUGACUCAUGAGUAACUUCAAUAACAAACUGCUUGGGAAUUCCCAAUGCCACAGUAGAACUAGUAUAUGCAAACAUUAUUUAUUAUCAGGGUGCACAUAAAGGGAAACUAGGACAAAAACCUACCCUGUUUCAAUUUGAUCUUGUUCUCUUAAGCAUGGAAAAAGAAUACUUGUUGCUAUAACUCAACAACUAAAACUCUUGUUUCUCAGGAGAAAAUGCAAAAAGAAAACCAGUUUAUUUGUCAUUUUUGGUUUUGCAAAUGCUAAUCAAAGUUGGUCUUUAUGCAAUGCAAUUUUUCCCACUCUUAAAACUGACUGAUAACAGCAAAUCAGACUGAACCUAAAAAUGACUCCUUCAAAAGUACUAAAAGCCUGUGUGCUUAUGUUUAUAUAUUUGUCUGUGAAUGGGGACCAAAUCCUUUUAUAUGCUGGGGAAGAAAAUUCCUUGACUCUUGGUCAUUAGCAAGUCAGUGUACUUGGGUGCUCAUGUCACUAAAAUACCUCAUUUAUCCCUCCAAUAACACCUUCUUCUGGCCAGAAGGAUUAUAUUUAUCCUGUUUCAAAAGGGAAAAUCCUGGAGCACCUGAGGCAUAAAUAUGUCAUCUUCUGCCCAAUUAGUGUUUUUUUGUUUGUUUGUUUGCUUUGCCUGGAGUAGAACAUGGAGAAAUAUGAUCAUGAUUACUGAUUUCUCUCAAAUCCUAGGCAACCUAGCUGAUACGGUUUAUCUCUGUGUCCCCACCCAAAUCUCAUCUCAAAUUGUAAUCCCCACAUGUUGAGGGAGGGGAGUGAUUGGAUUAUGGGGGCUGUUUCCCUCAUGCUGUUCUUGUGAUAGUGAGUGAAUUCUCAUAAGAUCUGAUGGUUUUAUAAAUGGUAUUUUUUCCUGUGUGCUCGCUUCUGUCUCCUGCCACCAUGUGAAGAAGGUCCUUCCUUCCCCUUCACCUUCCACCAUGAUUGUAAGUUUCCUGAGGCUUCUCCAGAUGUGUGGAACUGUGAGUCAAUUAAACCUUCUUCCUUUAUAAAUUACACAGUCUUUGGAAGUUCUUUAUAGCAGUGUGAAAAUGUACUAAUACACUAACCUAUUCAACUGUCAAAGUUAUUGCCACUCAGUAAUAAUCUUUAAAUUCAUUAGCAGCAACUGUAUUAAAUAACAGAAUUACUCUAGAUUAUCUGUUGGCAGUACAGGGAAAUGUUUGUGGGAUAGUUAACAACUUACGUUAUACUUGGGAAAAUGCCUCUGAAGUAGUUGAACUGGAGCUCAAUAAAAUUAGUUUAGGCAGGUCGGCUAAGACAAGUGCCAUCUAUUGGUAAGCCAUCCUUUGACUUAUUUAGUUGUUACCAGAAAGGAUACAUUCCUUGACUAGAUCCCUGUUACAACUUAGUAUCAUUAUAACAUUAUUGUUUCUUUUUUAAAACUGUUCACUAAGUUCUUGGAAAACAUUAUUGUUUCUGAUAAUUUUGUUGAUCUGUAAGUAUUUGUCUCAAUGCUUAGAACAAGCACUAAUGCUGCCCACUGAUUUGAUGUUGGCCCAGAUUCCUGUAGCCUGUUCUGAACAUCCAGAAGGAACUUACAGCACCUAGAAUUAUAAGCUUGACUGAGUCUAUGAAAUAGCUUGUAAAUUCACUUCCCUGUGAGCCAGGGACCCAGAACAGAUAGUCUUACUUCACCCUGGCUUUUGCAGGACAAGAUGGAGCUCAUACAGCAUUGAUUUCGUCAGUGUCUAGGGACCUGUGGUGAUCACAGAUAUUCUCUCCUGGGAGAAAUAUCUUGAUCAAAUGAGGGAAAUGUGAGCUUAUCAAUGUUCCACACUUGCCAUCAGUAAUUUCAUCUUUGUCUACUGACUUCACAUUAAUACUGCCGAUGAACUUUGAGAUCUACAAAGUAACACUUCCUUCACAAAUAUUUGUACUCUCAACAGUACACACUAUAAAGAAACCGGUCACUAUCUUUAAGAACUUUAUAUAUAUAGCUUUUCUGACAAACUGAUGUAAUUUAUUCACGUUUAAUCAACUAAUGAAAUAAUCUGACAAACAAUAUAUGUAAACUAAAUAAGUUUUUCUCAAUGUAAGCCCUCUUUCCUCUUUCAGGUGGUGCAGUCUCUGGCUGCUAACUGGGUUGUAAUCCCUGUUCCUGAAUAAAUGUUUAUUU
Molecule: long non-coding RNA, 2618 nt
Filed under: Homo sapiens (human)
Lineage: Eukaryota; Metazoa; Chordata; Mammalia; Primates; Hominidae
Description: HSALNT0018814
Source: RNAcentral